This 348-nucleotide ribosomal RNA is filed under the name uncultured bacterium. RNAcentral describes it as "bacterial SSU rRNA". It matches the Rfam family "Bacterial small subunit ribosomal RNA", at positions 8 to 350 of the family's 1533-position model. The record is from RNAcentral.
AGAGUUUGAUCAUGGCUCAGGAUGAACGCUAGCUACAGGCUUAACACAUGCAAGUCGAGGGGCAGCAUGUUGGUUGCUUUGCAACCAAUGAUGGCGACCGGCGCACGGGUGAGUAACGCGUAUCCAACCUACCCUUGUCCAUCGGAUAACCCGUCGAAAGGCGGCCUAACACGAUAUGCGGUUCUCAGCAGGCAUCUAACGAGAACGAAAUGUGAAGGAGAAGGAUGGGGAUGCGUCUGAUUAGCUUGUUGGCGGGGUAACGGCCACAAGGCGACGAUCAGUAGGGGUUCUGAGAGGAAGGUCCCCCANAUUGGAACUGAGACACGGUCCAAACUCCUACGGGAGGCA